AUGGAACUAGACAAAUUCCUCAUGAAUGGUGAGUACACCUUCGUUGGAUUCGCCAUUGAAGGAGACAAAAGCAAGCUGAAGCUAUCUGGUUUGGAGAUAAACUCCGACAACUACAUUGAUAUUCAGGUGGAAUGGAGAGACCCAUCCAAUAAAAAGAAGUUUAACUCUUUGGCUGAUGUUGCCGGCAGGAUGAUAGACAUUCACUACCAUUACAUGAAGAAAAAAAUUAACCGCAAGGAGGACCAUAGUCUGUGGGGAUUCUGCCCACUGCCAGAAAAGCUUAUCAAGUAUGCAGCAAUAGAUGCAUUCGCAACAUAUGAGUCAUGGAGAAUCAUCUACGAUGUCAUCAUGGGACUGGACAGGGCAAAAAGAGACAAAGAAACAAAACAGAAGAAGAACACGGCUGUAAUCCAAUGCAGCAACUAG
RNAcentral lists this ribosomal RNA (426 nucleotides) under Triticum aestivum (bread wheat). RNAcentral describes it as "partial small subunit ribosomal RNA". The record is from RNAcentral. Lineage: Eukaryota; Viridiplantae; Streptophyta; Magnoliopsida; Poales; Poaceae.